GAUUAAGAACGUAGCGAAAUGCGAUAAGUAAUGUGAAUUGCAGAAUUCAGUGAAUCAUCGAAUCUUUGAACGCACAUUGCGCCCGGUAGUAUUCUGCCGGGCAUGCCUGUUCGAGCGUCAUUUCAACCAUCAAGCCCCAGCGCUUGUGUUGGGGGCCUGCGGCUGCCGCAGCCCCCCAAAAGCAGUGGCGGGCUCGCUAUCACACCGAGUGCAGUAGUUCAUCUUCUCUCCGGUCUUGUGAGGCGGGUUCCGGCCGUGAAACACCCCACUACAUUCAAGGUUGACCUCGGAUCAGGUAGGAAUACCCGCUGAACUUAAGCAUAUCAAUAAGCGGAGGA
RNAcentral lists this unclassified non-coding RNA (338 nucleotides) under soil metagenome. RNAcentral describes it as "partial contains 5.8S ribosomal RNA, internal transcribed spacer 2, and large subunit ribosomal RNA". The stretch from base 1 to 120 matches the Rfam family "5.8S ribosomal RNA", at positions 35 to 154 of the family's 154-position model. The record is from RNAcentral.